GGAUUUAGCUCAGUGGUAGAGCGCUUGCCUAGCAAGCAUAAGGCCCUGGGUUCCGUCCCCAGCUCCA
Molecule: transfer RNA, 67 nt
Filed under: Rattus norvegicus (Norway rat)
Lineage: Eukaryota; Metazoa; Chordata; Mammalia; Rodentia; Muridae
Rfam family: tRNA
About the family: Transfer RNA (tRNA) molecules are approximately 80 nucleotides in length. Their secondary structure includes four short double-helical elements and three loops (D, anti-codon, and T loops).
Source: Rfam by way of RNAcentral